Molecule: ribosomal RNA, 2871 nt
Filed under: Salmonella enterica subsp. enterica serovar Enteritidis
Lineage: Bacteria; Pseudomonadati; Pseudomonadota; Gammaproteobacteria; Enterobacterales; Enterobacteriaceae
Description: bacterial LSU rRNA
Rfam family: Bacterial large subunit ribosomal RNA
Source: RNAcentral
GGGUUGUGAGGUUAAGCGACUAAGCGUACACGGUGGAUGCCCUGGCAGUCAGAGGCGAUGAAGGGCGUGCUAAUCUGCGAUAAGCGCCGGUAAGGUGAUAUGAACCGUUAUAACCGGCGAUACCCGAAUGGGGAAACCCAGUGUGAUUCGUCACACUAUCAUUAACUGAAUCCAUAGGUUAAUGAGGCGAACCGGGGGAACUGAAACAUCUAAGUACCCCGAGGAAAAGAAAUCAACCGAGAUUCCCCCAGUAGCGGCGAGCGAACGGGGAGGAGCCCAGAGCCUGAAUCAGCAUGUGUGUUAGUGGAAGCGUCUGGAAAGGCGCGCGAUACAGGGUGACAGCCCCGUACACAAAAGCGCAUGUGCUGUGAGCUCGAUGAGUAGGGCGGGACACGUGGUAUCCUGUCUGAAUAUGGGGGGACCAUCCUCCAAGGCUAAAUACUCCUGACUGACCGAUAGUGAACCAGUACCGUGAGGGAAAGGCGAAAAGAACCCCGGCGAGGGGAGUGAAAAAGAACCUGAAACCGUGUACGUACAAGCAGUGGGAGCNNNNNNNNNNNNNNNNNNNNNNNNNNNNNNNNNNNNNNNNNNNNNNNNNNNGGGCGUUAAGUUGCAGGGUAUAGACCCGAAACCCGGUGAUCUAGCCAUGGGCAGGUUGAAGGUUGGGUAACACUAACUGGAGGACCGAACCGACUAAUGUUGAAAAAUUAGCGGAUGACCUGUGGCUGGGGGUGAAAGGCCAAUCAAACCGGGAGAUAGCUGGUUCUCCCCGAAAGCUAUUUAGGUAGCGCCUCGUGAAUUCAUCUCCGGGGGUAGAGCACUGUUUCGGCUAGGGGGCCAUCCCGGCUUACCAACCCGAUGCAAACUGCGAAUACCGGAGAAUGUUAUCACGGGAGACACACGGCGGGUGCUAACGUCCGUCGUGAAGAGGGAAACAACCCAGACCGCCAGCUAAGGUCCCAAAGUCAUGGUUAAGUGGGAAACGAUGUGGGAAGGCCCAGACAGCCAGGAUGUUGGCUUAGAAGCAGCCAUCAUUUAAAGAAAGCGUAAUAGCUCACUGGUCGAGUCGGCCUGCGCGGAAGAUGUAACGGGGCUAAACCAUGCACCGAAGCUGCGGCAGCGACACUGUGUGUUGUUGGGUAGGGGAGCGUUCUGUAAGCCUGUGAAGGUGUGUCGUGAGGCAUGCUGGAGGUAUCAGAAGUGCGAAUGCUGACAUAAGUAACGAUAAAGCGGGUGAAAAGCCCGCUCGCCGGAAGACCAAGGGUUCCUGUCCAACGUUAAUCGGGGCAGGGUGAGUCGACCCCUAAGGCGAGGCCGAAAGGCGUAGUCGAUGGGAAACGGGUUAAUAUUCCCGUACUUGGUGUUACUGCGAAGGGGGGACGGAGAAGGCUAUGUUGGCCGGGCGACGGUUGUCCCGGUUUAAGCGUGUAGGUGUGUGUUCCAGGUAAAUCCGGUUCACUUUAACACUGAGGCGUGACGACGAGGCACUACGGUGCUGAAGCAACAAAUGCCCUGCUUCCAGGAAAAGCCUCUAAGCAUCAGGUAACAUCAAAUCGUACCCCAAACCGACACAGGUGGUCAGGUAGAGAAUACCAAGGCGCUUGAGAGAACUCGGGUGAAGGAACUAGGCAAAAUGGUGCCGUAACUUCGGGAGAAGGCACGCUGACACGUAGGUGAAGUGAUUUACUCAUGGAGCUGAAGUCAGUCGAAGAUACCAGCUGGCUGCAACUGUUUAUUAAAAACACAGCACUGUGCAAACACGAAAGUGGACGUAUACGGUGUGACGCCUGCCCGGUGCCGGAAGGUUAAUUGAUGGGGUCAGCGCAAGCGAAGCUCCUGAUCGAAGCCCCGGUAAACGGCGGCCGUAACUAUAACGGUCCUAAGGUAGCGAAAUUCCUUGUCGGGUAAGUUCCGACCUGCACGAAUGGCGUAAUGAUGGCCAGGCUGUCUCCACCCGAGACUCAGUGAAAUUGAACUCGCUGUGAAGAUGCAGUGUACCCGCGGCAAGACGGAAAGACCCCGUGAACCUUUACUAUAGCUUGACACUGAACAUUGAGCCUUGAUGUGUAGGAUAGGUGGGAGGCUUUGAAGUGUGGACGCCAGUCUGCAUGGAGCCGACCUUGAAAUACCACCCUUUAAUGUUUGAUGUUCUAACGUGGACCCGUUACCCGGGUUGCGGACAGUGUCUGGUGGGUAGUUUGACUGGGGCGGUCUCCUCCUAAAGAGUAACGGAGGAGCACGAAGGUUGGCUAAUCCUGGUCGGACAUCAGGAGGUUAGUGCAAUGGCAUAAGCCAGCUUGACUGCGAGCGUGACGGCGCGAGCAGGUGCGAAAGCAGGUCAUAGUGAUCCGGUGGUUCUGAAUGGAAGGGCCAUCGCUCAACGGAUAAAAGGUACUCCGGGGAUAACAGGCUGAUACCGCCCAAGAGUUCAUAUCGACGGCGGUGUUUGGCACCUCGAUGUCGGCUCAUCACAUCCUGGGGCUGAAGUAGGUCCCAAGGGUAUGGCUGUUCGCCAUUUAAAGUGGUACGCGAGCUGGGUUUAGAACGUCGUGAGACAGUUCGGUCCCUAUCUGCCGUGGGCGCUGGAGAACUGAGGGGGGCUGCUCCUAGUACGAGAGGACCGGAGUGGACGCAUCACUGGUGUUCGGGUUGUCAUGCCAAUGGCACUGCCCGGUAGCUAAAUGCGGAAGAGAUAAGUGCUGAAAGCAUCUAAGCACGAAACUUGCCCCGAGAUGAGUUCUCCCUGAGACUUAGAGUCUCCUGAAGGAACGUUGAAGACGACGACGUUGAUAGGCCGGGUGUGUAAGCGCAGCGAUGCGUUGAGCUAACCGGUACUAAUGAACCGUGAGGCUUAACCUUACAACGCCGAAG